Molecule: ribosomal RNA, 1522 nt
Filed under: metagenome
Description: bacterial SSU rRNA
Rfam family: Bacterial small subunit ribosomal RNA
Source: RNAcentral
AGAGUUUGAUCAUGGCUCAGAUUGAACGCUGGCGGCAGGCCUAACACAUGCAAGUCGAACGGUAACAGGAAGAAGCUUGCUUCUUUGCUGACGAGUGGCGGACGGGUGAGUAAUGUCUGGGAAACUGCCUGAUGGAGGGGGAUAACUACUGGAAACGGUAGCUAAUACCGCAUAACGUCGCAAGACCAAAGAGGGGGACCUUCGGGCCUCUUGCCAUCGGAUGUGCCCAGAUGGGAUUAGCUAGUAGGUGGGGUAACGGCUCACCUAGGCGACGAUCCCUAGCUGGUCUGAGAGGAUGACCAGCCACACUGGAACUGAGACACGGUCCAGACUCCUACGGGAGGCAGCAGUGGGGAAUAUUGCACAAUGGGCGCAAGCCUGAUGCAGCCAUGCCGCGUGUAUGAAGAAGGCCUUCGGGUUGUAAAGUACUUUCAGCGGGUAGGAAGGGAGUAAAGUUAAUACCUUUGCUCAUUGACGUUACCCGCAGAAGAAGCACCGGCUAACUCCGUGCCAGCAGCCGCGGUAAUACGGAGGGUACAAGCGUUAAUCGGAAUUACUGGGCGUAAAGCGCACGCAGGCGGUUUGUUAAGUCAGAUGUGAAAUCCCCGGGCUCAACCUGGGAACUGCAUCUGAUACUGGCAAGCUUGAGUCUCGUAGAGGGGGGUAGAAUUCCAGGUGUAGCGGUGAAAUGCGUAGAGAUCUGGAGGAAUACCGGUGGCGAAGGCGGCCCCCUGGACGAAGACUGACGCUCAGGUGCGAAAGCGUGGGGAGCAAACAGGAUUAGAUACCCUGGUAGUCCACGCCGUAAACGAUGUCGACUUGGAGGUUGUGCCCUUGAGGCGUGGCUUCCGGAGCUAACGCGUUAAGUCGACCGCCUGGGGAGUACGGCCGCAAGGUUAAAACUCAAAUGAAUUGACGGGGGCCCGCACAAGCGGUGGAGCAUGUGGUUUAAUUCGAUGCAACGCGAAGAACCUUACCUGGUCUUGACAUCCACAGAACUUUCCAGAGAUGGAUUGGUGCCUUCGGGAACUGUGAGACAGGUGCUGCAUGGCUGUCGUCAGCUCGUGUUGUGAGAUGUUGGGUUAAGUCCCGCAACGAGCGCAACCCUUAUCUUUUGUUGCCAGCGGUCCGGCCGGGAACUCAAAGGAGACUGCCAGUGAUAAACUGGAGGAAGGUGGGGAUGACGUCAAGUCAUCAUGGCCCUUACGACCAGGGCUACACACGUGCUACAAUGGCGCAUACAAAGAGAAGCGACCUCGCGAGAGCAAGCGGACCUCAUAAAGUGCGUCGUAGUCCGGAUUGGAGUCUGCAACUCGACUCCAUGAAGUCGGAAUCGCUAGUAAUCGUGGAUCAGAAUGCCACGGUGAAUACGUUCCCGGGCCUUGUACACACCGCCCGUCACACCAUGGGAGUGGGUUGCAAAAGAAGUAGGUAGCUUAACCUUCGGGAGGGCGCUUACCACUUUGUGAUUCAUGACUGGGGUGAAGUCGGAACAAGGUAACCGUAGGGGAACCUGCGGUUG